This 981-nucleotide long non-coding RNA is filed under the name Cricetulus griseus (Chinese hamster). RNAcentral's name for it is "lncRNA (ENSCGRG00015037969.1)". The record is from RNAcentral. Lineage: Eukaryota; Metazoa; Chordata; Mammalia; Rodentia; Cricetidae.
AUUUGAGGCCUGCCGGAGUCACAUAGCAAGUUCCAGGCCAGCCUACCACAGAGUGAUACCCUGGUUCACAAAAAGGCAGGAAAUGAUACAGGACAAGAGAUCUAUUCUUCAACAGAGAGAUUGGACAAGGAGGAGAAGAGAGAGAGAGAGCCUUCUACAGAGGUGUUCAGAAUGAGGAAGGAGAGGGACAGGGCUGGCUUGUAGGACAGCUCAGGAAGGCCUGGAGACAACUGGGGGCACAGCAUGUUUGAGCAUCAAGAGUUUACCUGUCUGGGAAUAUCUACAGCUCAAGAACUACGCUGACAUUGGCAGAAACAGCCUGGAGACAUUUGCAGAGGGGCUGUUGAGUGCAAGGAAAAUGAAUCUAGCAACGCAUGGGUAUAAGUCCUGACAUCUGUAAUUGCCAUGGGGCUCUGGCCAUCUAUGGUCUUUACUUUUGGGGGGACACAAAGGCCCAGCUGCCAUAGCAUUUAGGGAGGUGACUUAACUUCUACAAGUAUCUUAGGAUCAAAUGAGAAAAAUCAUAGUUCAGCACAUGGCCUAGUGCCAGCCCAUGGGGGCUGCCAUGGGAUUGCUGGGGAGAGAAUGAGAUCCAGUAUGGGAUGUGCCCAUAGUCACUCAGUGUGGCCACCUCUAAUAUUGUUAUUCUGUGGACAUAACAAGAGCCUGCAAUGCAAACACUCUAGCAGUGAAACUAAACCCAGGUACCCCAGAAGAAGCCUAUGUACAGUGAGUCUCAGGACAGUCGGGGAUACAUAGUAAGACUCUGUCUUUUAAACAAAUAAGGCAGAAGGAGCUGCAUAGACAGACAGUUCACGACCAGCUUGGGCUUCACAGAGAGGGAUGAGGGGGCAGAGAUGGAGGGGAGGACCGUAGGAAGCUGGUACAGUGAUGCUCACCUAUAAUUUCAUCAUUCAGAGGCUGAGGCAGCGAUAUCACAAGUUUGAGACCAGCCUGAGCCACAGACUGAAUUUAUCCAGA